Molecule: ribosomal RNA, 433 nt
Filed under: uncultured bacterium
Lineage: Bacteria
Description: partial 16S ribosomal RNA
Rfam family: Bacterial small subunit ribosomal RNA
Source: RNAcentral
AACGAACGCUGGCGGCAUGCCUAACACAUGCAAGUCGAACGAGACCUUCGGGUCUAGUGGCGCACGGGUGCGUAACGCGUGGGAACCUGCCCUUAGGUUCGGAAUAACUCCCCGAAAGGGGUGCUAAUACCGGAUAAUGUCUUCGGACCAAAGAUUUAUCGCCUUUGGAUGGGCCCGCGUUGGAUUAGCUAGUUGGUAGGGUAAAAGCCUACCAAGGCGACGAUCCAUAGCUGGUCUGAGAGGAUGAUCAGCCACACUGGGACUGAGACACGGCCCAGAAUCCUACGGGAGGCAGGAGUGGGGAAUAUUGGACAAGGGGCGAAAGCCUGAUCCAGCAAUGCCGCGUAAGUGAUGAAGGCCUUAGGGUUGUAAAGCUCUUUUACCCGGGAUGAUAAUGACAGUACCGGGAGAAUAAGCUCCGGCUAACUCCGUG